UAUUAUGCUCAUUUCUUUGGAU
This 22-nucleotide microRNA is filed under the name Bombyx mori (domestic silkworm). RNAcentral's name for it is "bmo-miR-2763-3p". The record is from miRBase by way of RNAcentral. Lineage: Eukaryota; Metazoa; Arthropoda; Insecta; Lepidoptera; Bombycidae.